Molecule: transfer RNA, 72 nt
Filed under: Ovis aries (sheep)
Lineage: Eukaryota; Metazoa; Chordata; Mammalia; Artiodactyla; Bovidae
Rfam family: tRNA
About the family: Transfer RNA (tRNA) molecules are approximately 80 nucleotides in length.
Source: Rfam by way of RNAcentral
UCCCUGGCGGUUCAGUGGUUAGGAGGCAGCACUUUCACUGCUGGGACGCAGGUUCAAUCCCUGACUGGGGAA